CAUGGUGAAUAGCAUAGAAAGAAGUGUUUGGGCAUGGAAAAUUAAAAUAUAACAAAACUGCAUAGGCCCUGGAUCCUUGAGACUGAGUUUAAGAGGAACAAGCUUUGGCCUUGGGACUUUCAAUUCAGGAAUAUAUAAUUAUUUAAAGCCAUCUGUGCAGAGGGAGUGGUUCAGGUGCUCUGAUGUGCUCGUGGCUGAGCUGCCAGACAGCAGACACUGAACCCCAGUGCUCUGGAUUUUAAUGCACGAGCUCUCCUGCCUGAGCUGGGAGCCAUCCUACCUAGUAGACCACUCACAUAUUUAUAGCCUGGCAAAUUGAUUCAUCCAGGAACCUGAAGUGUUGCCUGAGAGGAAGAAAGAUUGAACACUGAGGAAAGAGACCUAGAAUGGGGCAUGGUGCCUAAACUGCUCUGCUGAUAAGGUGGGCUUGGUAAACUAAAAAAGUG
This 446-nucleotide long non-coding RNA is filed under the name Cyanistes caeruleus (blue tit). RNAcentral's name for it is "lncRNA (ENSCCEG00000000954.1)". Lineage: Eukaryota; Metazoa; Chordata; Aves; Passeriformes; Paridae. The record is from RNAcentral.